Molecule: long non-coding RNA, 1494 nt
Filed under: Mus musculus (house mouse)
Lineage: Eukaryota; Metazoa; Chordata; Mammalia; Rodentia; Muridae
Description: RIKEN cDNA B430218F22 gene
Source: RNAcentral
AGGGUGGGAGUUCCAAGCUCACCGAGAGCGGCAGUGCUCAGGACAGGGUUGAGUGGAGCGAGCAGGUUCACGAGCGUCCUCACUACCUGGUCCAGGAUGGAGGAGGCGAGGGCCUGGCGACGAUCGAAGAGGGAGCGGGGCCGGCGGCGCCGCACGUAGACCUGCUCCUGCAAGAUGCAGUCGCACACGGCGGCGCGCAGGGCGGCGAGGUCGAGCGAGGGCGGCGGCGGCGACAGCGCCGGGGCGGGCGGCAGGCCCGAGACAAACACGGUCUUGGUGAAGCUCUGGUACCAGCGGUCGGCGUUCAAGGCGGAGAUCUGCGGAUGCACCACGUACUUCUUGAACUGCAUCUUGGUGAGAAUCCGUAUCUUCUCGUCCACCGAGGGGGCCGCGUGCACCGUCGCCUGCCAGCGCUGCACCCGCCGCUGCCGCGCCGCUUUGCUGUCGGCGGUCAUGGAAGCCACGAUCGGCGGGUACCGCGCGACGGGCGUCGCCACGACCUCCAGGUCUCUCACCUCCGGGGCCGUAGCGGACGCCUUAGCAGCGGCAUUCUGGGACAAUCCCCGGCCGCGGGGCACCAGCUUCCAAUACCUGGCCGCCGCCAUUUUCGCCCGCCGCGACCCGGAACUUGAGGUCAACUGGCAGGAAUUGUUCCUCUUCGCUUGCCGUAGGGACCAAUCGCUUCUUGGAGGCGGGUGCUCUGAGUGUCUGUGGUGCGUUGUGUCAUCCAGUUUGCAACCAAUCAGUAUGCUCCUUGAAGUUUGUUGUAUUCUUUUUGAGUAUUUGUCUGCGAUAAAAAUUCGCUUACCCCAGAUAUUUUCCCACCGGUUAUGCUCUGAAGAAUGAAACAAUUAAAGUCCUUGCUCGUAGGAUGUUUUAGGAACUCGCACUUUUUUUCACACGCAAACAUUCAGAAAUAUCCUCCAGCCGGGCGGUGGUGGCGCACGCCUUUAAUCCCAGCAUUUGGGAGGCAGAGGCAGGUGUAUUUCUGAGUUCGAGACCAGGCUGGUCUACAGAGUGAGUUCCAGGACAGCCAGGGCUAUACAGAGAAACCCUGUCUCCAAAACAAAACAAAACAAACAAACAAACAAAGAAAUAUCUUCCAAAGAGAAACUUAAAAUCCAUACAGUUCUGACGUCAUUUGUGUACCUCAUAUAGUCUGUUACCCUCCAUCACCUUUAGAACUAGAAUUUUAUGAAAUACAACAUGUCUUUACUUAUUCUUGCUAAUUAUAAAAAUUAUAUCAGCAUCACUUACCUGUGAACGCGACUAAACUUUAGGAAAACUAUUUCAUACAUUCUUCAGUGCUAAUGAGGUAAUAUAAUUUAUUUUGAAACGGGGAAAUGUGUUUUUAGUUGAAUAUACAAGACGUCGGGGAAUACAUGAAAUAAAUCAUACUAAGCAAUUUGUUUGAAUUUUGCUGUGUAUUAAACUCUUUACUAGUUUGAAAUGAACUGAUUCUUUACAAUAAACUUAAUAAAGAAGCUAUUACUU